RNAcentral lists this transfer RNA (74 nucleotides) under Acidimicrobiia bacterium. Its description in RNAcentral is "tRNA-Val". It matches the Rfam family "tRNA". Rfam says of the family: Transfer RNA (tRNA) molecules are approximately 80 nucleotides in length. Their secondary structure includes four short double-helical elements and three loops (D, anti-codon, and T loops). The record is from RNAcentral. Lineage: Bacteria; Bacillati; Actinomycetota; Acidimicrobiia. RNAcentral also lists the same sequence under 1 other name.
GGGCGAUUAGCUCAGCUGGCUAGAGCGCUGCCUUCACACGGCAGAGGUCACAAGUUCAAGUCUUGUAUCGCCCA